This 264-nucleotide ribosomal RNA is filed under the name uncultured bacterium. RNAcentral's name for it is "partial 16S ribosomal RNA". It matches the Rfam family "Bacterial small subunit ribosomal RNA", at positions 90 to 350 of the family's 1533-position model. The record is from RNAcentral.
AGAGAGCGGCGGACGGGUGAGUAACGCGUGGGUAACCUGCCCUGUACACACGGAUAACAUACCGAAAGGUAUGCUAAUACGGGAUAAUAUAUAAUAGUCGCAUGUACUUUUAUAUCAAAGUAUUUUUCGGUACAGGAUGGACCCGCGUCUGAUUAGCUUGUUGGCGGGGUAACGGCCCACCAAGGCGACGAUCAGUAGCCGACCUGAGAGGGUGAUCGGCCACAUUGGAACUGAGACACGGUACCAAACUCCGUACGGGAGGCA